AUUUAUGGAAGCAGUUGCAUCCAUCUGCCAUGGCCUGGAAAUUUUAGUUGCUGCUGGUGUUCUGCAGGGGAAGAAAUGUACUGGAUACCCAGGGAUUAAGGCUCGUG
Non-coding RNA from Prunus avium (sweet cherry), 107 nucleotides. Lineage: Eukaryota; Viridiplantae; Streptophyta; Magnoliopsida; Rosales; Rosaceae. The record is from RefSeq and is a predicted model, not a curated record.